CAACAGGGAUUGCCCCAGUAACGGCGAGUGAAGCGGCAACAGCUCAAAUUUGAAAUCUGGCCCCCAGGGUCCGAGUUGUAAUUUGUAGAGGAUGCUUUUGGCGAGGUGCCUUCCGAGUUCCCUGGAACGGGACGCCACAGAGGGUGAGAGCCCCGUCUGGUCGGCCACCGAGCCUCUGUAAAGCUCCUUCGACGAGUCGAGUAGUUUGGGAAUGCUGCUCAAAAUGGGAGGUAUAUGUCUUCUAAAGCUAAAUACUGGCCAGAGACCGAUAGCGCACAAGUAGAGUGAUCGAAAGAUGAAAAGCACUUUGAAAAGAGGGUUAAAAAGUACGUGAAAUUGUUGAAAGGGAAGCGCCUAUGACCAGACUUGGGCCCGGUGAAUCAUCCAGCGUUCUCGCUGGUGCACUUCGCCGGGCACAGGCCAGCAUCAGUUUGGCGCGGGGGAAAAAGGCUCUGGGAAUGUGGCUCCCCCGGGAGUGUUAUAGCCCACCGCGUAAUACCCUGCGCCGGACUGAGGUACGCGCAUUCGCAAGGAUGCUGGCGUAAUGGUCAUCAGCGACCCGUCUUGAAACACGGACCAAGGAGUCGUCUUCGUAUGCGAGUGUUCGGGUGUCAAACCCCUACGCGUAAUGAAAGUGAACGUAGGUGAGAGCUUCGGCGCAUCACCGACCGAUCCUGAUGUUCUCGGAUGGAUUUGAGUAAGAGCAUACGGGGCCGGACCCGAAAGAAGGUGAACUAUGCCUGUAUAGGGUGAAGCCAGAGGAAACUCUGGUGGAGGCUCGCAGCGGUUCUGACGUGCGAAUCGAUCGUCAAAUAUGGGCAUGGGGGCGAAAGACUAAUCGA
This 842-nucleotide ribosomal RNA is filed under the name Arachnidicola kanyawimiae. Its description in RNAcentral is "Akanthomyces kanyawimiae partial large subunit ribosomal RNA". It matches the Rfam family "Eukaryotic large subunit ribosomal RNA", at positions 66 to 938 of the family's 3401-position model. Lineage: Eukaryota; Fungi; Ascomycota; Sordariomycetes; Hypocreales; Cordycipitaceae. The record is from RNAcentral.